CAGAGACCUCAAGCGUUAUCCGGAAUCAUUGGGCGUAAAGCGUACCGAUAGGUGGUUAUACAAGUCAGAAGUGAAAUCUCCGAGCUCAACUCGGAAUCUGUCUUUUGAAACUGUAUGACUAGAGGGGCAAAGAGGAAGCUGGAACGAACGGUGUAGUAGUGAAAUGCGUUGAUAUCGUUCGGAACACCAAUAGCGUAGGCAGGCUUCUGGGUGCCACCUGACACUGCUAGGACGAAAGCGUGGGGAGCGAAGGGGAUUAGAUACCCCCGUAGUCCACGCUGUAAACGAUGAUGACUAGGCGCUAGGGAGUAUCGACCCUCUUUAGUGCCACAGCUAACGCGUUAAGUCAUCCGCCUGGGGAGUACGGCCGCAAGGCUAA
This 379-nucleotide ribosomal RNA is filed under the name uncultured organism. RNAcentral's name for it is "bacterial SSU rRNA". It matches the Rfam family "Bacterial small subunit ribosomal RNA", at positions 526 to 897 of the family's 1533-position model. The record is from RNAcentral.